RNAcentral lists this antisense RNA (1151 nucleotides) under Pongo abelii (Sumatran orangutan). The stretch from base 268 to 411 matches the Rfam family "CDKN2B antisense RNA 1 convserved region 3". Lineage: Eukaryota; Metazoa; Chordata; Mammalia; Primates; Hominidae. The record is from RNAcentral.
CUCGUCGAAAGUCUUCCAUUCUUCAAACUAGAUUAUUUAAAAAUGAAAAAGGAAGAAAGGAAAGCGAGGUCAUCUCAUUGCUCUAUCCGCCAAUCAGGAGGCUGAAUGUCAGUUUUGAACUAAAAGCCGCUCCGCUCCUCUUCUAGAUUUGGAAAACAAGCGAAAUUAAACUAAACCGCUGCACGCCUCUGAUGCGACAUCUGGACACUGCGUGGCGCUGGCGCUGCCGGAGCUGCGGGCCCGGCCUGGCGCCGGACUAGUCUCCCUUUUGAUGAGAAGAGUAAGUCUCAUUCUGAUUCAACAGCAGAGAUCAAAGAAAAGACUUCUGUUUUCUGGCCACCAGAUAUAUGUUAUCUGUGCUUAAAGAACUGAAAAACACACAUCAAAGGAGAAUUCUCUUGGAAAGAGAGGGUUCAAGCAUUAUUGUUAGGUGUGCUGGAAUCCUUUCCCGAGUCAGUACUGCUUUCUAGAACAGAACCAGGGAGAUCUAUUUGGAAUGUAUCUAACUCCAAAGAAACCAUCAGAGGUAAUAGUGGAGACGGGGUUUCACCAUGUUGGCCAGACUGGUCUUGAACUCCAGACCUCAUGAUUCGCCUGCCUCCGCCUCCCAAAGUGCUGGGAUUACAUGUGUGAGACACCACACUCAGCGGAUAGAGAGAAUUUUGACAGAUUGGCUUCUCUCACAUGGCAAGAAACAUUGCUGCUAGCACUUCUGGAGUUCUACGUUCUACAACAUCCACCACUGCUAUAUGUCUCACAGUCCAGACUUGGAGUACAAGUAAUAAGAAGAAUAAAACUUACUCCCUUAAGUAGAUUCACCAUAAGUUAGCUCAGGGCAAUUCCAGUGCAAGUAUGGUCUGUGAUCCAACAGUAUCUCACAGACAGCAAGUUGAACAUUGUGGGAUGCAUAAGCUAUUGAGGCCUUUGAAGCUUUCUGCUACAUGGAGGCUAGGGCCAGAGUCAAGAUUUAUGCUUUGCAGCACACUGGUCAGCUGUUUUUGCAAAUCAGAUUAAAUGAUUUUUAAAUGAGGCUGAGAGCAUGGGAGAUACUAAUGUGUGUUUCCUUGUGAGCUACUGCAUAAGUUAGGAAAUUGAAAUACAGAAAGAUGAAAAGUGAUUCGCCCAAGCAUAUAGAUCAAAGCUGUGGCAGA